Long non-coding RNA from Macaca mulatta (Rhesus monkey), 506 nucleotides. RefSeq lists it as uncharacterized. The record is from RefSeq and is a predicted model, not a curated record. NCBI's taxonomy places the organism in Eukaryota, Metazoa, Chordata, Mammalia, Primates, Cercopithecidae.
CCCUGGCUGUGCAUCUCUUGGUUGAAUUUUUUCUUCUAAGAAAACAAGAACAGCAGUUCUUGCAGUACAAUUCCAGUACUUUCUGGUAACAAGAGGGCUCAUUUCUUGUCAACUCUUCUUGUUCCUGAGGUCAAGGCAGGUACUGAUGCCAAAUACUGAGGACAGAGGGAGGAUCAUGAAGAGAACACUGAAUGGCCUACAGCAACCUACAGAAAGCCUGCCUUGUGAUGGAACGAACACAAACUCUUUAUUCGGAAGGCAGGACAGUGCCUCUGAUCAACAGCUUAACAUCUCUAAGGAGACUACCUGCUGCCUGAGCCCUGCCCUCAAGUCUGUGACAUAACAUGGCCUCCUACUGCUGACACAGUAAAAUGGAAUGAUCCAUCUGUAAAACAUCCAUGAGGAAAAAAGGAAAGGAUAAAUUUCAAGUUUUAAUUUUUAUCUAAUAAUUUUGGCUUGGCAAAUAAACUCAUAGUCAGGCUCGAUCAACCAGCCUGAAACUUGAA